Molecule: ribosomal RNA, 473 nt
Filed under: uncultured bacterium
Lineage: Bacteria
Description: bacterial SSU rRNA
Rfam family: Bacterial small subunit ribosomal RNA
Source: RNAcentral
UGGGGAAUAUUGCGCAAUGGGCGAAAGCCUGACGCAGCAACGCCGCGUGAGUGAUGAAGGCCUUCGGGUCGUAAAGCUCUGUCGGAGGGAACGAAUGCUCCUGAAGUUAACAGCCUCAGGAGGUGACGGUACCCUCAAAGGAAGCACCGGCUAACUCUGUGCCAGCAGCCGCGGUAAUACAGAGGGUGCAAGCGUUGUUCGGAAUCAUUGGGCGUAAAGGGCGUGUAGGCGGUAUGUUAAGUCAGGGGUGAAAUCCUGGAGCUCAACUCCAGAACUGCCUUUGAUACUGAGAAGCUUGAGUCCGGGAGAGGUGAGUGGAACUGCGAGUGUAGAGGUGAAAUUCGUAGAUAUUCGCAAGAACACCAGUGGCGAAGGCGGCUCACUGGACCGACACUGACGCUGAGGCGCGAAAGCUAGGGGAGCAAACGGGAUUAGAUACCCAAGUAGUCCCUGAGCGGGCUGGCAAGGCGCAU